Molecule: ribosomal RNA, 464 nt
Filed under: uncultured Arsenophonus sp.
Lineage: Bacteria; Pseudomonadati; Pseudomonadota; Gammaproteobacteria; Enterobacterales; Morganellaceae
Description: bacterial SSU rRNA
Rfam family: Bacterial small subunit ribosomal RNA
Source: RNAcentral
CCUACGGGAGGCUGCAGUGGGGAAUAUUGCACAAUGGGCGCAAGCCUGAUGCAGCCAUGCCGCGUGUAUGAAGAAGGCCUUCGGGUUGUAAAGUACUUUCAGUCGUGAGGAAGGUGUUAAGGUUAAUAACCUUAGCAAUUGACGUUAGCGACAGAAGAAGCACCGGCUAACUCCGUGCCAGCAGCCGCGGUAAUACGGAGGGUGCGAGCGUUAAUCGGAAUUACUGGGCGUAAAGGGCACGCAGGCGGUUAAUUAGUUUGGUGUGAAAUCCCCGGGGUUAACCUGGGGAAUGCAUUCAAGAAUGGUUUGGUAGAGUCUUGGUGGGGGGGGUAGAAUUCCAUGUGUAGCGGUGAAAUGCGUAGAGAUGUGGAGGAAUACCGGUGGCGAAGGCGGCCCCCUGGACAAAGACUGACGCUCAUGUGCGAAAGCGUGGGGAGCAAACAGGAUUAGAUACCCGAGUAGUC